GUGAGUGUAGCUCAGUGGUAGAGCACAUGCUUAGCAUGCAUGAAGUCCUGGGUUCAAUCCCCAGUACCUCCA
Molecule: transfer RNA, 72 nt
Filed under: Camelus bactrianus (Bactrian camel)
Lineage: Eukaryota; Metazoa; Chordata; Mammalia; Artiodactyla; Camelidae
Also listed under: 3 other names
Rfam family: tRNA
About the family: Transfer RNA (tRNA) molecules are approximately 80 nucleotides in length. Their secondary structure includes four short double-helical elements and three loops (D, anti-codon, and T loops).
Source: Rfam by way of RNAcentral